This is a long non-coding RNA of Cyprinus carpio (common carp), 1086 nucleotides long. The record is from Ensembl. Lineage: Eukaryota; Metazoa; Chordata; Actinopteri; Cypriniformes; Cyprinidae.
AUGCUGAACGGGAGCCGCGAGGGUUUGUUUGAACUGGGCAGGCAGCUCCAGCAGGAAGGAGACUCACAAGCUGCUCUGCACUGCUUUUUGAGCUGCCUGCUGGGACUCACACAUGUGCAGAGCUUCCACUCGCUUCCCAACUGCCUGCAUCAGAUCGCUGAACUCUACAUUGAUGACAAGAACUAUGGGAAAGCUCUACAGUUUAUUCAGGCGGAGAAGAUGUUUUACGAAGUGGCAUUGAUCGAGCUCACCUCACUGCAGGCCAGCACAGGGUCUCAGGAAGACGGACCAUUGGGAACGUCAGGAUGUCUGUCUCAAGAGGAGUUAUCAGAACAGGCUUCACAGGCCCAGGAUCUUGAGAGACUGGCUCAGCUCUGCAUCAUGAGCAAAAGACCUCACCUUGCUUUAGAAUACAGUGGCAAGGCCACUAAAAUCCACCAGAGGGCUUUUGGUAACGAUCACCCUAUCACAGCCCGGAGUCUGGAGCUGCUAGCCACUGUCUAUGCAGAGAUCGGCAAAACAGAAUAUACAAAUUCAUUGGGAGAGUGUGUGUCGACUCUUUCCAAAAGGUUCUCAGCCACCGAGUCAUUCAGUGACGCUCUGAGUAGCAUCUCUCAUAGCCAUAAGGACAGACACUCUGAGCUGCGACACAGAAAAGAGCCAUACAUACAACAGGAAACUCCUAAAACAAAGGUCAUAAAUGAAAAACUGCCCACCUCUAUUCUGAAAAGGUCCAACAUGAGCAAUGUGGAGUCAGACUCAUUGCGCAAGCGAAAAACCGAGAGGCGGGUUCGCUUCAGAGAGCCGGAGAUCACUGUUCAUGACAUUCCAUACUAUGACUGUUUAGGAGUCUAUGACACUCCCCAGAGCCGUUUGCACCUGACCCUGCUCACCUGCCUGUUCCUGCUUCUGUCUGCGCUGGGUCUGGCACUGUACUGCACGGACCGCCGGAGACCCCAGCGUGCCUGCGAAGAGCUGCAGACGGCACUGGCUGUGUACCUGCUUCAGUUCAAACAGAUCGUCUUUGUUUUUUAUUGCUUUAUUUUCACUGUUAUAAUCAGACUGGCCACCAGUCAAAUUUUCUGA